CGCUAGCUACAGGCUUAACACAUGCAAGUCGAGGGGCAGCAUGGUCUUAGCUUGCUAAGGCCGAUGGCGACCGGCGCACGGGUGAGUAACACGUAUCCAACCUGCCGUCUACUCUUGGACAGCCUUCUGAAAGGAAGAUUAAUACAAGAUGGCAUCAUGAGUCCGCAUGUUCACAUGAUUAAAGGUAUUCCGGUAGACGAUGGGGAUGCGUUCCAUUAGAUAGUAGGCGGGGUAACGGCCCACCUAGUCUUCGAUGGAUAGGGGUUCUGAGAGGAAGGUCCCCCACAUUGGAACUGAGACACGGUCCAAACUCCUACGGGAGGCAGCAGUGAGGAAUAUUGGUCAAUGGGCGAGAGCCUGAACCAGCCAAGUAGCGUGAAGGAUGACUGCCCUAUGGGUUGUAAACUUCUUUUAUAAAGGAAUAAAGUCGGGUAUGGAUACCCGUUUGCAUGUACUUUAUGAAUAAGGAUCGGCUAACUCCGUGCCAGCAGCCGCGGUAAUACGGAGGAUCCGAGCGUUAUCCGGAUUUAUUGGGUUUAAAGGGAGCGUAGAUGGAUGUUUAAGUCAGUUGUGAAAGUUUGCGGCUCAACCGUAAAAUUGCAGUUGAUACUGGAUAUCUUGAGUGCAGUUGAGGCAGGCGGAAUUCGUGGUGUAGCGGUGAAAUGCUUAGAUAUCACGAAGAACUCCGAUUGCGAAGGCAGCCUGCUAAGCUGCAACUGACAUUGAGGCUCGAAAGUGUGGGUAUCAAACAGGAUUAGAUACCCUGGUAGUCCACACGGUAAACGAUGAAUACUCGCUGUUUGCGAUAUACUGCAAGCGGCCAAGCGAAAGCGUUAAGUAUUCCACCUGGGGAGUACGCCGGCAACGGUGAAACUCAAAGGAAUUGACGGGGGCCCGCACAAGCGGAGGAACAUGUGGUUUAAUUCGAUGAUACGCGAGGAACCUUACCCGGGCUUAAAUUGCAGAUGAAUUACGGUGAAAGCCGUAAGCCGCAAGGCAUCUGUGAAGGUGCUGCAUGGUUGUCGUCAGCUCGUGCCGUGAGGUGUCGGCUUAAGUGCCAUAACGAGCGCAACCCUUGUUGUCAGUUACUAACAGGUUCCGCUGAGGACUCUGACAAGACUGCCAUCGUAAGAUGUGAGGAAGGUGGGGAUGACGUCAAAUCAGCACGGCCCUUACGUCCGGGGCUACACACGUGUUACAAUGGGGGGUACAGAGGGCCGCUACCACGCGAGUGGAUGCCAAUCCCCAAAACCUCUCUCAGUUCGGACUGGAGUCUGCAACCCGACUCCACGAAGCUGGAUUCGCUAGUAAUCGCGCAUCAGCCACGGCGCGGUGAAUACGUUCCCGGGCCUUGUACACACCGCCCGUCAAGCCAUGGGAGCCGGGGGUACCUGAAGUGCGUAACCGCGAGGAGCGCCCUAGGGUAAAACUGA
RNAcentral lists this ribosomal RNA (1433 nucleotides) under uncultured bacterium. RNAcentral's name for it is "bacterial SSU rRNA". It matches the Rfam family "Bacterial small subunit ribosomal RNA". The record is from RNAcentral.